RNAcentral lists this unclassified non-coding RNA (261 nucleotides) under Hevea brasiliensis (rubber tree). Lineage: Eukaryota; Viridiplantae; Streptophyta; Magnoliopsida; Malpighiales; Euphorbiaceae. The record is from RNAcentral.
GAAAGUUUUGUUUUUUUUUUUUUUCCGGGUAGGUAGAAACAGAGAAAUGGUGAUGGUGUUGAAUGUGAAUGGUGAGGAAGGAGAGGAACGCUCCUAGCGCUUCUUCUUCACGAGUUUCUUUCUCACACGGCUGGGCAAAGGGAGGGUCCCACCUUGGAUUAUUACUGUAACGAUCAUUAACGGUCAAUUGUUUCUUCUCAAAAGUCAUAGAAGGAGAAAAUGAGAGAGAGAGAAAGACCAAUCUUUAUUUAUUUAUUUUUG